GACGAACGCUGGCGGCGUGCCUAAUACAUGCAAGUCGAACGGUUUAGUUCCAAGAGGCUUGCCUUUUGGAACUAGACAGUGGCGGACGGGUGAGUAACACGUAGGCAACCUACCUGUCAAACCGGGAUAACCUCGGGAAACCGAAGCUAAACCCGGAUAAGCUCCUUUUUCGCAUGCAGGGGGAGUGAAAAGGUACGACCUGAUGACAGAUGGGCCUGCGGCGCAUUAGCUAGUAGGUAGGGUAACGGCCUACCUAGGCGAUGAUGCGUAGCCGACCUGAGAGGGCGCACGGCCACACUGGGACUGAGAUACGGCCCAGACUGCUACGGGAGGCAGCAGUAGGGAAUCUUCGGCGAUGGGCGAAAGCCUGACCGAGCAACGCCGCGUGAGUGAGGAAGGCCUUCGGGUUGUAAAACUCUGGUGUUUGGGAAGAAGGGAAAGGGUAGGACCGUUUGGUGACGGUACCAAACGAGAAAGCCCCGGCUAACUACGUG
This 494-nucleotide ribosomal RNA is filed under the name uncultured bacterium. RNAcentral describes it as "partial 16S ribosomal RNA". It matches the Rfam family "Bacterial small subunit ribosomal RNA", at positions 28 to 507 of the family's 1533-position model. The record is from RNAcentral.